CUGGUGUCAGCCGCCGCGGUAAUACCAGCACCCCGAGUGGUCGGGACGAUUAUUGGGCCUAAAGCAUCCGUAGCCGGUACCGCAAGUCUUCCGUUAAAUCCACCUGCUCAACAGUUGGGCUGCGGGGGAUACUACAGCGCUAGGAGGCGGGAGAGGCAAGCGGUACUUAAUGGGUAGGGGUAAAAUCCACUGAUCCAUUGAAGACCACCAGUGGCGAAGGCGGCUUGCCAGAACGCGCUCGACGGUGAGGGAUGAAAGCUGGGGGAGCAAACCGGAUUAGAUACCCGGGUAGUCCCAGCUGUAAACGAUGCAGACUCGGUGAUGGGCUGGCCUUGUGCCAACCCAGUGCCGCAGGGAAGCCGUUAAGUCUGCCGCCUGGGGAGUACGGUCGCAAGACUGAAACUUAAAG
This 409-nucleotide ribosomal RNA is filed under the name uncultured Nitrososphaerota archaeon. RNAcentral's name for it is "bacterial SSU rRNA". It matches the Rfam family "Archaeal small subunit ribosomal RNA", at positions 452 to 861 of the family's 1478-position model. The record is from RNAcentral. Lineage: Archaea; Thermoproteati; Nitrososphaerota.